GACGAACGCUGGCGGCGUGCCUAAUACAUGCAAGUCGAACGCACAGUUUAUACCGUAGCUUGCUACACCAUAGACUGUGAGUUGCGAACGGGUGAGUAACGCGUAGGUAACCUGCCUGGUAGCGGGGGAUAACUAUUGGAAACGAUAGCUAAUACCGCAUAAUAUUGAUUAUUGCAUGAUAAUUGAUUGAAAGAUGCUAUUUCAUCACUACCUGCUGGACCUGUGUUGUAUUAGCUAGUAGGUGAGGUAACGGCUCACCUAGGCGACGAUACAUAGCCGACCUGGGAGGGGGAUCGGCCACACUGGGACUGAGACACGGCCCAGACUCCUAAGGGAGGGAGCAGGAGGGAAACUUCGGCAAUGGACGAAAGGCUGACCGAGGAACGCCGCGUGAGUGAAGAAGGUUUUCGGAUCGUAAAGAUCUGUUGUAAGAGAAGAACGGGUGUGAGAGUGGAAAGUGCACACUGUGACGGUAUCUUACCAGAAAGGGACGGCUAACUACGUG
Molecule: ribosomal RNA, 505 nt
Filed under: uncultured bacterium
Lineage: Bacteria
Description: partial 16S ribosomal RNA
Rfam family: Bacterial small subunit ribosomal RNA
Source: RNAcentral